CAAAAUUUUUACUAAUUUUAUCCAGGUUUUCGGCUACUGAACAGUAAUUUAGUAGGUAAAAGGAGGAGAAACUUUCUUGUCAUUCAGUUUUUAUCCUGUCGUUACACAAAAUGUUUUCUCGUAGUCUUAGAGUUUCAAGUUCUCUUCAAGGAAAUUUGAGGAAUUUCGGUACAACUAAACAGUGCAAUGUAAAAGUAGCAGUUGCUGGAGCUAGC
Molecule: long non-coding RNA, 215 nt
Organism: Agrilus planipennis (emerald ash borer)
Lineage: Eukaryota; Metazoa; Arthropoda; Insecta; Coleoptera; Buprestidae
Exons: 3
Source: RefSeq, a predicted model, not a curated record